Oreochromis aureus is the source of this 1367-nucleotide long non-coding RNA. NCBI's taxonomy places the organism in Eukaryota, Metazoa, Chordata, Actinopteri, Cichliformes, Cichlidae. The record is from Ensembl.
AAGCAGGACAGGAUCAGAGAAAGAUGAUAAAAGAAUCCAGACUUCUAUCUGUGAAUAAUUUGAAUAAAGCUAAUCUUUGCAAAGUGUACAUUGGGGCUGUGGAAAGUGUCUCUCUGCAGAGCGUUGUGUUCAGGAAUGUUUUGAAGGUCUAUGGGAUGGAGGCCAAAGUGAAAGCUCUGCCUUUGCCCUACGUCCUGGAAACAAAUGAUCGCUGUAGCUAUCCUAAACUGAUUCCUGGGAAGACCUACUUCUUUAACAAAGACAAUAUUUUCACUGGUUUCAUCAAUGAUUCUUUUCUUCAGUCACUCCAUUUCAUUAUUUCCGAGUGUUCACCUAGGAUCACCACUCACCGAAAAUCAACAAAUAUGCAUUUUGCAUACUGAGCACUUACACUAAAGCUGAGUGUAUGCUGACACCAGCCCAGCAGCUAGACCCUGAACUUCAAAACGUAACAAAGGCAAUGAUGAACAGUUAGGCUGGUAGGCUGGCAGUUAGGCUCAGUUACACUGAGAGCUCUCAAUGUAAAUCUAUCAAACCAGUGAACUUUCUUUUUAAGCAUUCUGCUUUUUAAGCAGCCUUUACUUUAUGCACCACAGUUAUUCUGUGGUGCAUAAAGUAGAUCUUUGAAGCAAUACUGAUGCAAUAGAGUUGAGCGGGGAGUCAAUCUUUCAUUACGUGAAUUUAUAGAUGAAAACUACAUCUGUAAAAUGAAAAUGAAACCAGCUUCAUCUCAAAGAAUAAAUGAAUUAACUUCCUAUUGUGUUCACUAUCUUUAGAAACUAUCUUCCAUAUUUAUUACUGAUUGUAGUCACUUCAUGAUAUAACCACACUUUGACUAGUUGACACAGAAGAUAAAGUCUUAAAACAGAUGUUAACUUUUCCCAAGACCAGACAUUGGCUAUAUCAUAUGACUCAUUACUCAUUAAGUUAGGACAUUAUAAAGCAUAACUAUUAAAGGUGGCACUAAAAGUCAAAAGAUAGCCAUAAACAGGAGGAUAUAGCUGAUCAGUAUAUUUAUGUGUAAAAUUUAUAUGUAAAAUGGUCAAUUUAAUAGUAGCUCAGCCAGUCCACUCUGAUCUAAAGUGGUGAACUGGCUACUGAAAGACCAGCACAACUCUUAGUUACUUAUAGCUUGAUCCUGCAUAGAUAGCUUCAGACUAAUUUGGCCUACGUCUGGCCCCUAAACUGUACCUAGUUUUAUUCCAAGUGCACUGGGAGUUGCUGUAACAGGUGUGGUGAUUAGAUACCUGGCCUGCAAGUAUGCUCAGGCCCCAGUUUUUGCCACAGUAGGUGGACAUUCUUGGAGAGAGAGGUAGGACCAGGCGAGUCCUUUCAUUCACUAGCUCAAUCUGAACUCGGGAUCGCCU